GAUGAACGCUGGCGGCGUGCCUAAUACAUGCAAGUCGAGCGAACGGACGAGAAGCUUGCUUCUCUGAUGUUAGCGGCGGACGGGUGAGUAACACGUGGAUAACCUACCUAUAAGUCUGGGAUAACUUCGGGAAACCGGAGCUAAUACCGGAUGAUAUUUUGAUCCGCAUGGUUCAAAAGUGAAAGACGGUCUUGCUGUCACUUAUAGAUGGAUCCGCGCUGCAUUAGCUAGUUGGUAAGGUAACGGCUUACCAAGGCAACGAUGCAUAGCCGACCUGAGAGGGUGAUCGGCCACACUGGAAGUGAGACACGGUAAAGACUCCUACGGGAGGCAGCAGUAGGGAAUCGUACGCAAUGGGCGAAAGCAUGACGGAGCAACGCCGCGUGAGUGAUGAAGGUCUUCGGAUCGUAAAACUCUGUUAUGAGGGAAGAACAUAUGUGUAAGUAACUGUGCACAUCUUGACGGUAACUAAUCAGAAAGCAACGGCUAACUACGUG
RNAcentral lists this ribosomal RNA (497 nucleotides) under uncultured bacterium. RNAcentral describes it as "partial 16S ribosomal RNA". It matches the Rfam family "Bacterial small subunit ribosomal RNA", at positions 28 to 507 of the family's 1533-position model. The record is from RNAcentral.